RNAcentral lists this unclassified non-coding RNA (547 nucleotides) under Penicillium sp. MK6-2020. Its description in RNAcentral is "sequence contains 18S rRNA gene, ITS1, 5.8S rRNA gene, ITS2, 28S rRNA gene". The stretch from base 220 to 372 matches the Rfam family "5.8S ribosomal RNA". The record is from RNAcentral. Lineage: Eukaryota; Fungi; Ascomycota; Eurotiomycetes; Eurotiales; Aspergillaceae.
UCGUAACAAGGUUUCCGUAGGUGAACCUGCGGAAGGAUCAUUACCGAGUGAGGGCCCUCUGGGUCCAACCUCCCACCCGUGUUUAUUUUACCUUGUUGCUUCGGCGGGCCCGCCUUAACUGGCCGCCGGGGGGCUUACGCCCCCGGGCCCGCGCCCGCCGAAGACACCCUCGAACUCUGUCUGAAGAUUGUAGUCUGAGUGAAAAUAUAAAUUAUUUAAAACUUUCAACAACGGAUCUCUUGGUUCCGGCAUCGAUGAAGAACGCAGCGAAAUGCGAUACGUAAUGUGAAUUGCAAAUUCAGUGAAUCAUCGAGUCUUUGAACGCACAUUGCGCCCCCUGGUAUUCCGGGGGGCAUGCCUGUCCGAGCGUCAUUUCUGCCCUCAAGCACGGCUUGUGUGUUGGGCCCCGUCCUCCGAUCCCGGGGGACGGGCCCGAAAGGCAGCGGCGGCACCGCGUCCGGUCCUCGAGCGUAUGGGGCUUUGUCACCCGCUCUGUAGGCCCGGCCGGCGCUUGCCGAUCAACCCAAAUUUUUAUCCAGGUGACCUC